Molecule: ribosomal RNA, 690 nt
Filed under: Bacillus sp. MR-I3
Lineage: Bacteria; Bacillati; Bacillota; Bacilli; Caryophanales; Bacillaceae
Description: bacterial SSU rRNA
Rfam family: Bacterial small subunit ribosomal RNA
Source: RNAcentral
AAGUUAGCGGCGGACGGGUGAGUAACACGUGGGCAACCUGCCUGUAAGACUGGGAUAACUUCGGGAAACCGGAGCUAAUACCGGAUAAUCCUUUUCCUCUCAUGAGGAAAAGCUGAAAGACGGUUUACGCUGUCACUUACAGAUGGGCCCGCGGCGCAUUAGCUAGUUGGUGAGGUAACGGCUCACCAAGGCGACGAUGCGUAGCCGACCUGAGAGGGUGAUCGGCCACACUGGGACUGAGACACGGCCCAGACUCCUACGGGAGGCAGCAGUAGGGAAUCUUCCGCAAUGGACGAAAGUCUGACGGAGCAACGCCGCGUGAGUGAUGAAGGUUUUCGGAUCGUAAAACUCUGUUGUUAGGGAAGAACAAGUACAAGAGUAACUGCUUGUACCUUGACGGUACCUAACCAGAAAGCCACGGCUAACUACGUGCCAGCAGCCGCGGUAAUACGUAGGUGGCAAGCGUUGUCCGGAAUUAUUGGGCGUAAAGCGCGCGCAGGCGGUCCUUUAAGUCUGAUGUGAAAGCCCACGGCUCAACCGUGGAGGGUCAUUGGAAACUGGGGGACUUGAGUGCAGAAGAGAAGAGUGGAAUUCCACGUGUAGCGGUGAAAUGCGUAGAGAUGUGGAGGAACACCAGUGGCGAAGGCGACUCUUUGGUCUGUAACUGACGCUGAGGCGCGAAAGCGUGGG